This 194-nucleotide ribosomal RNA is filed under the name uncultured bacterium. Its description in RNAcentral is "partial 16S ribosomal RNA". It matches the Rfam family "Bacterial small subunit ribosomal RNA", at positions 1300 to 1500 of the family's 1533-position model. The record is from RNAcentral.
GGAGUCUGCAACUCGACUCCAUGAAGCUGGAUUCGCUAGUAAUCGCGCAUCAGCCAUGGCGCGGUGAAUACGUUCCCGGGCCUUGUACACACCGCCCGUCAAGCCAUGGGAGUCGGGAGUGCCUGAAGUUCGUGACCGUAUAGGAGCGACCUAGGGCAAGACUGAUGACUGGGGCUAAGUCGUAACAAGGUAGC